AGGACGAACGCUUGCGACGUGCCUAAGAAAUGCAAGUCGAACGGACAGUAGCAAUACUGUUAGUGGCGAACGGUCGCGUAACACGUGGGCAACCUGCCCCGAAGCGGGGGACAACAACCCGAAAGGGUUGCUAAUACCGCAUGUGAAUCGUGGUGGCAUCACCAAGGAUUCAAAGCCGCAAGGCACUUCGGGAUGGGCCCGCGGCCUAUCAGCUAGUUGGAGAGGUAACGGCUCACCAAGGCUUCGACGGGUAGCUGGUCUGAGAGGACGGCCAGCCGGAUUGGGACUGAGAUACGGCCCAGACUCCUACGGGGGGCAGCAAUUAGGAAUCUUGCGCAAUGGGCGAAAGCCUGACGCAGCGACGUCGCGUGAAGGAUGAAGGUCUUCGGAUUGUAAAGCACUUUCGACAGGGACGAUGAUGACGGUACCUGUAGAAGAAGCCCCGGCUAACUUCGUGCCAGCAGCCGC
Molecule: ribosomal RNA, 468 nt
Filed under: uncultured bacterium
Lineage: Bacteria
Description: SSU rRNA
Rfam family: Bacterial small subunit ribosomal RNA
Source: RNAcentral